AUGGCUACGGGAAGUAUUUAUGUAGCUGUGCCUGCUCUUGCUGCUGCUGUUGGAUUUUAUUUCAUAGACACAAACCAUGUUAAGAAAAUCAAAAAAGAAUUUUCAUUAUCCAAUAGCAAAAUGAUGCCCCAAGUAAAAGAUCAUGAGAAGACAAUUCAAAAUCCAAAAAUGGCACCACAGCUUGAUGGUUUACAUUGUUUUGAAACCAUUCUGAUGAAUUAA
Vicia faba (fava bean) is the source of this 222-nucleotide non-coding RNA. The record is from the annotation of a GenBank genome assembly. Lineage: Eukaryota; Viridiplantae; Streptophyta; Magnoliopsida; Fabales; Fabaceae.